GGCCGACUAGCUCAGUUGGUUAGAGCGUGGUGCUAAUACCUUCGCGGUACGCCAAGGUCGUCGGUUCGACCCCGGCGUUGGCCA
This is a non-coding RNA of Postia placenta Mad-698-R, 84 nucleotides long. NCBI's taxonomy places the organism in Eukaryota, Fungi, Basidiomycota, Agaricomycetes, Polyporales, Adustoporiaceae. The record is from Rfam.